Molecule: long non-coding RNA, 2485 nt
Organism: Canis lupus familiaris (dog)
Lineage: Eukaryota; Metazoa; Chordata; Mammalia; Carnivora; Canidae
Exons: 2
Source: RefSeq, a predicted model, not a curated record
CCAAUGUAAAUCAUGGUUUUAUUGUCUACAACAAUUUCUGUAGCUUCACAUAGAUAUUAGAAGGAUAUGUACAAGAAUUAUAAUGACUUUUCUAAGAUAGUUUAAUUUAACUGAACAACUGAUAUAAAAAAUAAGCCUCAUGUAAGAAAGUCACACUGUUCUUUGGCUCAAUAAAUCCUGUUUUAAAAAUAAUUGUUUUCUAUGGACCCUAUCCUAGAACCCUCACAUACUACAACAUUUUCAAUGUAAUUCCAUUUAGAUCCAGAUUUUUAAUGUUAGUUUAACGGCAGUUCAGAGCUAAUCUCAUUUCUCUUUUAGAAAGCAAGUAUCAAGACAAUUUUCUAUUGGAACAGCUUCUAGAGGUCACUCAACAAAUUCUGUUUCUGCUCUUUCUCUCCUUGUCCAACCUUCUUCUUUGACCUAAAUACACUUCUGUUGGACUCUAAGAUUCAGAACAUCUGUCUACAACUUUUGCAGAUUCCCUCUGGAGGCCCAUUUUUGCAACUUAUUGUAUAUUGCUAACCACAGUAGAAGCCAUGAACACAUCUAGUUUCCCUACAGGUCCCAGACUCCCUGAUUGUCAGUGACAGCGAUUUAUGCUCUUAUGACCACUCACUGCUAUAAUGCAUUUAGAUUUUAUGUCAUUAACUCAUGGAUCCAGUGAUGUUUGUGUAAUUCAACUGAGUGGACAACUGUCUUUGUUUAAAACAUUUUCAAAAAUGUUUUUCUCUUUACAUUUUUCAGAGCUCCAGACCCCUGAAAGUCAUAAUGCUUAUUCAUAUGAAUUAGACCCAGCAAUGUUACAAGCUGAGGCAGAUGUGGCGUCAAACACCAGAAAAGCAUCUUACAGGGAAACAAGCUCUGGAGAUAGUGGACAUUCUAAUGUGAAUGUUUGGAAUGGCCAUGAUUUUGGUUUGGUGCAUGGAGAUAAAAGCUUGAAGUCGUUUACUUUGGAAAGACAUUGUUGUCAACUAAGAGAGACUUAAUUGGAACCACGCUGAUGACAGUACCACUAAGAAUGAGAAUUCCAAACAGCAAAAGCACCUCUGACAUGGAUUUUUGGAAGUGGUUCAAAGAUUUAGUGUAAAGCACAGUGUGUUUGGAAUGAAAGAGAGCUACGGAACAACUGUGUGAUUCAAAAGUUAAAUGCUAUGAGGCAAAGAUAAGGGCAGGGAAAAGCUGAAAGGGGUAGAUUAUAGUAAGUCAAGGGAUAAAGAAGCGAGAGAGUAAAAAUAAGUACAUGAGUAGGUUUGUGAAAUUAAUGAUUCUAACUGGCUUGUUGAGCUCAGAGAAAAGUAAUAAUCCUUGGUGAAUAGGGAAACGGAUAGCCAUUCAGGUACGACAGCUUCUUUUAUUCCAUUAUCUGUUCUUACAUUUGUGGCAGAGAACAGGCAACCUAAUUCUUUUAUGUGUUAGUCUGUAUCAUUGUAAACUGAAUCUAUUUAUUUAGGGAAUCUACGAUCCAGGGAGAUAUUGACACUUCAGUGCUUUGAAGCUCUUCGGAAGAACACAAUUAAUUGCAUAUUUAUUUAGUAGGGUAAUCAUUCCUUGUUUCAACAAAACAAAACAAAAUCCAAAUAACUAAAACAUUUAAAAAGAUUUUCAAAGAUCUGGAAAUAAACAACGAAGUUCAAAAUUAAACUUGAAAACAGAGGCUGUUUCUCUCUUUGUGCAGUCAGUACCAAGCCCAGUGUCUGGCACAUUUUAGGCACUCUGCUGUUUAGGAGUUUGAUCAGAAACAGUUUUGAAAAUGACUAAAUUAGUUUCUUUUGGAAUAAAAUUUCACUUCGUCAGAGGCAUUUUGUGAGUGGAGUUAGUCAUGUUGAGCAUGGUGAUUUUGUUUCAUCAGGAAUAAACUCAUCUGUCAUUGCUUUGUAUUUUCUAGAGUGAUCUAAGAAUGAUAUGUAAUGCUAUCUAAGCCCCUUGCCUGGGACUGGGCCUAGCGCCUUGCUUCUAAUGACUAGACUAUGGCAAGAGUACAGAGAUAUCAUUUCUGAAAUUAUGUUACUAAGAGACUGUGACCUCCAUUGUGGUGUUCUCUUGCACACUCCCUGGGAUCACUUGCCCUAGGGAAAGCAAACUGCCAUGUUGUGAGCAGUCCUAUGGAGAGACCCAUUGGGCAUACUGAGGAGCUGAGGCCAACAGUACAGGCGGAUCUUCAGCCUGGCUAUAAUAAUUGUAAGUGAACUUAAAGCCUUCAUCCCCACUUGGGGUUGGGGCUUACCAUAUUCCAGCUGACAGCUUGACUGCAAGCUCAUGAGAGGCCCCGAGUCUGAGGGACCCAGCUAAACUAUACCUGGAUGCCUGACCCACAGGAACAAUGAAAGAAUAAAUGUUUGUUAUAUUAAGGAGCCAAAUAUGGGAGUGAUUUGUUAUACAUCAAGAGAUAAUAAAUACACUCUUAAGUAAAAAAAAAAAAAUUGCUUGGGUAAAAUGUUUAAAAAAAUAGAGUUGCUUUCCUCUAACAUUUUUAAUUUUUGUCCCA